GAUGAAGAACGUAGCGAAAUGCGAUAAGUAAUGUGAAUUGCAGAAUUCAGUGAAUCACCGAGUCUUUGAACGCACAUUGCGCCCCCUGGUAUUCCGGGGGGCAUGCCUGUCCGAGCGUCAUUGCCGCCCUCAAGCACGGCUUGUGUGUUGGGCCCCCGCCCCCCGGCUUCGGGGGGCGGGCCCGAAAGGCAGCGGCGGCACCGCGUCCGGUCCUCGAGCGUAUGGGGCUUCGUCACCCGCUCUGUAGGCCCGGCCGGCGCCCGCCGGCGACCCCAAUCAAUCUUUCCAGGUUGACCUCGGAUCAGGUAGGGAUACCCGCUGAACUUAAGCAUAUCAAUAAGCGGAGGA
RNAcentral lists this unclassified non-coding RNA (348 nucleotides) under soil metagenome. Its description in RNAcentral is "partial contains 5.8S ribosomal RNA, internal transcribed spacer 2, and large subunit ribosomal RNA". The stretch from base 1 to 120 matches the Rfam family "5.8S ribosomal RNA", at positions 35 to 154 of the family's 154-position model. The record is from RNAcentral.